UACAGAGGCCCCAAGCAUUACCCGGAAUUAUUGGGCGUAAAGGGUGCGUAGGUGGUCAUAUUAGUCGUCCGUUAAAUCCCCCGGCUCAACCGGGGAAUCGCGGGCGAAACGGUAUGACUAGAGAGCGUGAGAGGUGCAUAGAACUCUAGGUGUAGGGGUGAAAUCCGUUGAUAUCUAGGGGAAUACCGAAAGCGAAGGCAGUGCACUGGCGCGUUUCUGACACUGAAGCACGAAAGCGUGGGUAGCGAAUGGG
RNAcentral lists this ribosomal RNA (253 nucleotides) under uncultured bacterium. RNAcentral's name for it is "partial 16S ribosomal RNA". It matches the Rfam family "Bacterial small subunit ribosomal RNA", at positions 524 to 776 of the family's 1533-position model. The record is from RNAcentral.